Molecule: ribosomal RNA, 1713 nt
Filed under: Triticum aestivum (bread wheat)
Lineage: Eukaryota; Viridiplantae; Streptophyta; Magnoliopsida; Poales; Poaceae
Description: partial small subunit ribosomal RNA
Source: RNAcentral
AUAAGUAGUAGCAACGACUAGAAGACGUCGUUUACUAUGUUGUUCUGACGUUAGAUAGUGUGGAAUCGGUGGGCGAAAAGAGUGUAGAGGGCGGUUGACAGGAUGUUAUGCGACUACUGUGGGAUUAGUAGCGAUUUCGUAGUUUACUGCCGCGGGUUGUCAAUUUUUUGUAAGAUGUCCUGAAGCGAGCCCGUUGGCCGGAGAGAUAGUUGAAGUGGUUUUGUUACAAUCACGGAUACGUACAGCGUGGAUAUGACAGCCGUAGGUAACGUAGAUGGUACGUUACGUGUUGGAGGAGGAAGGGCGUCUAGAUAAAUCCGGAUGGGAAUCGUGGGUGACCGGACGGAAGUUUGCGGAAGGAUGGGUAGUAGCUUGCUACAGCUUUUAAGAAUUGUCCAACCGCCCGUUUCGAGGAGAGGUUUCCUCUGUCCGACUAUAAUGAUAGACAUCAGGAUCUAAGUUAGAACCAGAUAAAAUACAGACAGAAGGAGUAAGGGUUUUCGCAAGAAUUUUGGGAGCUAAGGUAAUCUGCACGAAAGAAGACCCGACGUCUUCUUUGAACAUGACCACGAGUUACAGAUCAACGGACCUUUUUACAGACAUUUGGUUUUUACACACCACCAGAUCCGGAUUUUUUGGACGUAUUUGUCUUGUUUACGAACGAGUACUUUAAGCGACAGUUUCGAGAAUUAGGUCUUGUUAGAGGUACCGAACUGACCUAGUGAAACGUUGUGGGUUUACGGGAGGAGUGGGGUGUUUUGGCAGUGAGUAAAUAGACGGUUUGUUAUUUGGUCGUUGAUGGUCGGGAGGUACGGUAGAGGAAACAUGAGUGUUUGAGACCGUGGUUGUGUAUAAAGACCAAUCUGUUUACCUAGGUGGUUUGUGGGGAGCGGUGAAAUAAGGGUACGGAUAUGAGAGUAUGGUGAUGUGGGGAGCGAGCACACCGAUGACAAAAAUUGAUACCAAAUCUAAGUUAGGACGCCUUGGCGGAUUGGAGAUUACGGUGACGGCUCAACACGAGACACAACAGAGAGGACGUCCUAAAGGUCGCCAGCGGACCUGGUCUGCUUGCGAUGGAGAGGCCACCGAACACGAAGAGAUGGUUCCGGCGGAUGAGUGACAGGUACCCACUGAGGUGGCUCGUACUAUACGUGAGGUAGGGGUAGGCCAGGAGUACGCAGGGUUGUUCUCACUUCUAAAAACGUACCAAUAACAAGUCCCUAGCUAAUUUGUGGUUCACGUUGGAUGAGGCGUUCGUGUACCAGAGACUACGCGAUACAGGGGCGACACCAAAACUACCACUUUUGGCUAAUGUGAACAAGAACCGGACGGGCGAGCGAGUCUCCUAGACCGUAUCCCAUCCGGAUAGUGGGAGCCGUUUGUAGUUGCUUGAGACCCUGACGGCGGAUGGAAAGGUUGACUUACGCGGCCGGACCGUGAGUUAGGAGGAGUAGUAAAAUACCUCCUAAACCCUGAGUUCUUUACGGUACUGGAAGUUCGUCGUUCUGGUAGUAUCGUAGGAGUGAGAAUCUUCUUAGUAACUACUAGAUCGCGAGACCUGAGUGUCCUACUUCUUUGGUCGCGUUUUCGUCCGGCGGAGGAAUACCGCAAGGAUGGAGAAUAGUGCUGAUGUGCACGAAUACAUUAAAGUGGAACAUUAGCCAGCUUGCUACCCAAUGUUUGAACUCUUUAUAUAAGUCCACCCCUCGAGGG